AAUUCUCAAUCCCGUUUGGUUUUGAAUCAGACGUGGCUUGGAUUUGGGAGCUUGCUGGUACUCUACAUUGUGGGGUUCGGCUCUCCUUGAAUGCAUUAGCUCGGUCACGUUAGUUGCCCGACGGUUCACGGUGUGAUAGUUUAACUUCAUCGCCGUUGUGACCGCCUCGGUGCCUGUGCCUGCCGGCUUCUAAUCUGCUGUGUCUCUUUAGAUGCGCAUACACUUUGAC
Molecule: unclassified non-coding RNA, 229 nt
Filed under: Oxyporus corticola
Lineage: Eukaryota; Fungi; Basidiomycota; Agaricomycetes; Hymenochaetales; Schizoporaceae
Description: Rigidoporus corticola partial internal transcribed spacer 2
Source: RNAcentral